AAGACCUUGCGCUUUUGGAGCGGCCGAUGCCUGAUUAGCUUGUUGGUAAGGUAAAAGCUUACCAAGGCUUCGAUCAGUAGCUGGUCUGAGAGGACGGCCAGCCACACUGGGACUGAGACACGGCCCAGACUCCUACGGGAGGCAGCAGUGGGGAAUUUUGGACAAUGGGGGCAACCCUGAUCCAGCCAUGCCGCGUGAGUGAAGAAGGCCUUCGGGUUGUAAAGCUCUUUCAGCCGGAACGAAACGGUUACGGUUAAUACCCGUGACUACUGACGGUACCGGAAGAAGAAGCACCGGCUAACUACGUGCCAGCAGCCGCGGUAAUACGUAGGGUGCAAGCGUUAAUCGGAAUUACUGGGCGUAAAGCGUGCGCAGGUGGUUUUGUAAGUCAGAUGUGAAAUCCCCGGGCUUAACCUGGGAACU
RNAcentral lists this ribosomal RNA (423 nucleotides) under uncultured bacterium. Its description in RNAcentral is "bacterial SSU rRNA". It matches the Rfam family "Bacterial small subunit ribosomal RNA", at positions 207 to 622 of the family's 1533-position model. The record is from RNAcentral.